CUACAAUCCAUGCUAGCAAGUAAACAUGUGUUCGGGAGGUACAGCUGCUGUUUGAAGAAAAAGCCGUAAAAAAGCGCAUCCUUCGUCGGUUUUUCUAAAUGAAACGAGCUUCCCUUUACAUUGAAGAUGGCUAGCAAGGCAGCAGCGCUGUGGAUUGUGCUCUUCCUCCUUAUUCAUUGCGCCCGUUUCACCGUACAAGAUGGAAUAUCGGCCAACUGCAUUUGUCCGGUUGCGUCGUGUGCGCCAUGCCCCCUUAACAGCUUCGCCGCGGCUGGUAAACCGUUCUUAUUAAUGGCAACUGCUGGAAGCGACAAAUGUCCGCCAUGCCCACCUCCACAGUGUCCUCCGUGCGAUCCGCACGGAGGCACAUACUAGUAUCCACACAGGGAUCCUAUGCGCUCCCAGCUGCACACCGGCCAAUCCGGCCAGUGCUGUAUUUGUGGCCCUCUUUCCGUGGGAUGGUAGAGAACAAGAAUUUCCAAUUGAGAGCAAGGACGAAGAAGCGCACUUCAAGAAACUUUGGGGAAAGGACCCAGCGAUAAUUAAAACCUUUCUAAUUAGAUUUUUAAUAGUAACCUUAACACUGUACACUUAUGUUAUAUUGUGUACAUUUAUGCUGUUGUUAUCGAUAGAUACCAUCAUUUAUAACCGACUCCAUGGCUAGUACAAUCAAAAUAAAAAGGCUAUAU
Molecule: RNA transcript, 689 nt
Organism: Paramacrobiotus metropolitanus
Lineage: Eukaryota; Metazoa; Tardigrada; Eutardigrada; Parachela; Macrobiotidae
Exons: 3
Source: RefSeq, a predicted model, not a curated record